GAGUUUGAUCCUGGCUCAGGAUAAACGCUGGCGGCGCACAUAAGACAUGCAAGUCGAACGAACUUAAUUCAGAUGUUUACAUUUGGAAGCGGUUAGUGGCGGACUGGUGAGUAACACGUAAGCAACCUGCCUAUUAGAGGGGAAUAACAGUGAGAAAUCAUUGCUAAUACCGCAUAUGCCAUAAGUACCACAUGGUACUAGUGGGAAAGGAGAAAUCCGCUAAUAGAUGGGCUUGCGUCUGAUUAGAUAGUUGGUGGGGUAAAGGCCUACCAAGUCAACGAUCAGUAGCCGAACUGAGAGGUUGAACGGCCACAUUGGGACUGAGAUACGGCCCAGACUCCUACGGGAGGCAGCAGUCGGGAAUAUUGCACAAUGGAGGGAACUCUGAUGCAGUGACGCCGCGUGCAGGAAGAAGGUUUUCGGAUUGUAAACUGCUUUAGAUAGGGAAGAAAAAAGACAGUACCUAUAGAAUAAGCUCCGGCUAACUACGUG
Molecule: ribosomal RNA, 492 nt
Filed under: uncultured Eubacteriales bacterium
Lineage: Bacteria; Bacillati; Bacillota; Clostridia; Eubacteriales
Description: bacterial SSU rRNA
Rfam family: Bacterial small subunit ribosomal RNA
Source: RNAcentral